This 397-nucleotide ribosomal RNA is filed under the name uncultured bacterium. RNAcentral describes it as "partial 16S ribosomal RNA". It matches the Rfam family "Bacterial small subunit ribosomal RNA", at positions 523 to 918 of the family's 1533-position model. The record is from RNAcentral.
AUACGUAGGGGGCGAGCGUUGUCCGGAAUGAUUGGGCGUAAAGGGCGCGUAGGCGGCGCGGUAAGUCUGGAGUGAAAGUCCUGCUUUCAAGGUGGGAAUUGCUUUGGAUACUGCCGCGCUUGAGUGCAGGAGAGGUUAUCGGAAUUCCCGGUGUAGCGGUGAAAUGCGUAGAGAUCGGGAGGAACACCAGUGGCGAAGGCGGGUAACUGGACUGCAACUGACGCUGAGGCGCGAAAGUGUGGGGAGCAAACAGGAUUAGAUACCCUGGUAGUCCCCACUGUAAACGAUGAGUGCUAGAUGUAAGAGGUAUCGACCCCUUUUGUGCCGGAGUCAACACAAUAAGCAUUCCGCCUGGGGAGUACGGCCGCAAGGUUGAAACUCAAAUGAAUUGACGGGG